AAGUUUUAAGUUAAAAUAAAACUAGUAACCUUCAAAGUUAAAAAUAUUCCAUUAAACUUUGA
This 62-nucleotide transfer RNA is filed under the name Mesohomotoma hibisci. RNAcentral describes it as "tRNA-Trp". The record is from RNAcentral. Lineage: Eukaryota; Metazoa; Arthropoda; Insecta; Hemiptera; Carsidaridae.